Molecule: long non-coding RNA, 1458 nt
Organism: Gavialis gangeticus (Gharial)
Lineage: Eukaryota; Metazoa; Chordata; Crocodylia; Gavialidae
Exons: 4
Source: RefSeq, a predicted model, not a curated record
ACACAGUGCUUAUCCAGUUCAUCUUUCUGCUCUAUCAGGUCAAUGCAGGAGAUCACAAAAUGAGAAAAUUCAGUGGUCGCUCUUCUUUAAGAUAUGUGUGAACGGCCACUGUUUCUAAGCCAGAAAAACAUUCUUGUAACAGUGGGUUCCCAGACAGACACGGCUAGGGGGAAAUGCCACUUGCUCAGAACAGCUACCUUGCUCUAGCCUCCGGGAACCACACCACUGCCUCGAGCCUUGAAUUUUGCUUCUCCCUGAACCCCAAAUCCAUGAAUCGGUGCCGCAAACUGAUGAUGAAUUUUAUUUGCUGAAGACCCUGGAAAUCCUGAAGGUAGAGUAUGAGGAAGACCAGCUAUCUCUGUAGCACCAUCCAUGGUGGGGAUGUCCUCUGUGUGACAGAAGGAAGGACUACAGAGUAGGUAGACAUCGAUGAGGAGCUGAUGCAGCUAAUGAUCAAGCAACUCGUCUGAAACCACAGAGGAAAUCUGUAGUGGAACAAGGGAUGGGAUCUGGAUAUUCCUCUUUCCCUCGCACCCCAGCGCUGGAUCAGCCUUGGUAGCACGUGAAGAGAUGACCGUGUUGGCAUUUGUUCUCCUGCAAAUAUUUCCAACUGCAAAAGUAUCUACACCAGCCAGAUUGUGUAAAGCUUGAAUAAAAAAUCCUCUUUGUGAAAUGGCCAGCUAUGGCAAGUUACAAAUGCUAUUAAUAUUCUUUUAGUCUCUGUGCUCCACAGUGAGAGGGUAACCCUUCUUUAUAAGGAAAUGGAGCAACUUGUGAGUAAUGGGUAAUUUCCUGAUAUACAAACACUGCAGCCCACCUUUCCCCCUCAGAUCUUCAGGCCAUGUCUUUUAUCAUAGGUUUUUCCCCUUGUGGAGAACCACGUUAAGGUUUUUUAGAUAAUGUAGGGUUCAAUCCUAAACCCACAUAAAGCAAUAGGAAAUAUUUCCCCCUGGGUACAGAUUAUGCCACUAUUGGAAGAAUGUGUAGCAAGAUAUUGAAUGUCUCUCCGAUCUCCAGGGUUAGAAAUCCUGAUGUUUUUCACCUUUGCAUCAGUAACUAAAGCGCUACAUCAACUAGCACCCCACAAAACUAGAAGAUUUUAUAUGAAACCGCUGCAUUUUGUCCAGCUUUAUUUAUGAUGUAAGGCCUUCACAGGAAGAAUCAAUUCCUUAUGUAAAAUCAUCAAUGGCUGCCUAGAAAAAAGGCCACGAUUAUUUGUUCAUAUUUGCAUCAUUUUAUAUACACUCAGAAAGCCCUGAAAAAGGUUGAGUGAGCAUAAAACAAAGUUAAACUAUAUGGAAACUUUCCAGCCCCCACUCUCCAAGUCAGAACACAGGGUUAAAUCUGUUUCUAUUUAGACAAAACCCAACCAGUAUUUUUAUUAUCCUGCCUGCAAAGCGUUGGAUGUGCAUGUGCGGAAAAUGCAUUGUCUCUUUAAAUAAAAGGACUGUGGCUGGA